GGGCUUGUAGCUCAGUUGGUUAGAGCGUGCGGCUUACAUCCGCAAGGUCUCAGGUUCAAGUCCUGACAAGCCCACCA
This 77-nucleotide transfer RNA is filed under the name Candidatus Roizmanbacteria bacterium. RNAcentral's name for it is "tRNA-Val". It matches the Rfam family "tRNA". From Rfam's summary of the family: Transfer RNA (tRNA) molecules are approximately 80 nucleotides in length. Their secondary structure includes four short double-helical elements and three loops (D, anti-codon, and T loops). Lineage: Bacteria; Candidatus Roizmaniibacteriota. The record is from RNAcentral.